Molecule: transfer RNA, 62 nt
Filed under: Linognathus africanus
Lineage: Eukaryota; Metazoa; Arthropoda; Insecta; Psocodea; Linognathidae
Description: tRNA-Thr
Rfam family: tRNA
About the family: Transfer RNA (tRNA) molecules are approximately 80 nucleotides in length.
Source: RNAcentral
GUCUAUGUAGUUUAAUAUUAGAAUACUUAACUUGUAAUUAAGAGAUGGGUUCCCCAUAGACA